Molecule: ribosomal RNA, 714 nt
Filed under: uncultured marine bacterium
Lineage: Bacteria
Description: bacterial SSU rRNA
Rfam family: Bacterial small subunit ribosomal RNA
Source: RNAcentral
GCAGCAUAUUUCGCUUGCGAAAUGAUGGCGACCGGCGCACGCGCCUGUGUAACGCGUAUGCAACCUGCCUUGUACAGGAGAAUAGCCCGAAGAAAUUCGGAUUAAUGCUCCAUAAUGAUGUUGAUUGGCAUCGAUUAACAUUUAAAGCUUCGGCGGUACAAGAUGGGCAUGCGUCCUAUUAGCUAGUUGGUGUGGUAACGGCACACCAAGGCAACGAUAGGUAGGGGGCCUGAGAGGGUUAUCCCCCACACUGGUACUGAGACACGGACCAGACUCCUACGGGAGGCAGCAGUGAGGAAUAUUGGUCAAUGGAGGCAACUCUGAACCAGCCAUGCCGCGUGCAGGAUUGACGGCCCUAUGGGUUGUAAACUGCUUUUAUAUAAGAAGAAUCCCUUUUACGUGUAAGAGGUUGACGGUACUAUACGAAUAAGGACCGGCUAACUCCGUGCCAGCAGCCGCGGUAAUACGGAGGGUCCAAGCGUUAUCCGGAAUCAUUGGGUUUAAAGGGUGCGUAGGCGGACAUAUAAGUCAGUGGUGAAAUCCCGAGGCUCAACUUCGGAACUGCCAUUGAUACUGUAUUGUCUUGAGUUUAGUUGAAGUAGGCGGAAUGUGUAGUGUAGCGGUGAAAUGCAUAGAUAUUACACAGAACACCGAUAGCGAAGGCAGCUUACUAAGCUACAACUGACGCUGAGGCACGAAAGCGUGGAGAGCGAA